AUUUAGUAUGCAUACCCUUUAAACAAAACAAUGGGCAUAGAUUCAUAUCCUGUCUACAAAUAAUCGAAUGAUACAAGAACAAAUCUACCACCAGCUGCUUCGUCCCAGGCUCUGCUUUGACUGGGAGGGGAAAGCCAAGUUUCGAGCUGGGUCUAGCCUGACUCAGGCCUUAACUUGCGAGUCCUGCUAUUCUAACCCUUUCUCUUGAUCUGCUUUUCAGCCUAUCUGGAAGCACACAGCUCAGAGCAGCAGGGAAGUUGCUUAGCAAAGGGCCACCCACUUGCCUAUUAUUCCUUCUUCGCCUGUGACAUGACACAAGAACAAAGUAGACAUUAACCGCUACAUUAAACCCAGAAAGAAAGUAAUCAGUAACCUGUUAUUCCCUUAAUAAAGGGAAACACAUGCAGUGUGAAAUCCAGAAGACUAAUCAAUAGCCGCAGACAAUGCAAUGUGCCAAACAAAUUGCAAAUCAAUUAGAAUCCUUGUUUUCUUUGAAAUGGUUCACUAUAUCUAAAGCAAUUACUCCUUCAUUAGACCUAAUUUAACAGCAUGACUGCCCUGGCUACAACUGGCAGCGUCUGGCUAUCAAAUGGAAGAAUGGCAGCUUAUUUCUGUCUGUCUGUGAGUCUACC
Molecule: long non-coding RNA, 632 nt
Filed under: Marmota monax (woodchuck)
Lineage: Eukaryota; Metazoa; Chordata; Mammalia; Rodentia; Sciuridae
Source: RNAcentral